RNAcentral lists this ribosomal RNA (497 nucleotides) under uncultured bacterium. Its description in RNAcentral is "partial 16S ribosomal RNA". It matches the Rfam family "Bacterial small subunit ribosomal RNA", at positions 28 to 507 of the family's 1533-position model. The record is from RNAcentral.
GAUGAACGCUGGCGGCGUGCCUAAUACAUGCAAGUCGAGCGAACAGAUAAGGAGCUUGCUCCUUUGACGUUAGCGGCGGACAGGUGAGUAACACGUGGGUAACCUACCUAUAAGACUGGAAUAACUCCGGGAAACCGGGGCUAAUGCCGGAUAACAUUUAGAACCGCAUGGUUCUAAAGUGAAAGAUGGUUUUGCUAUCACUUAUAGAUGGACCCGCGCCGUAUUAGCUAGUUGGUAAGGUAACGGCUUACCAAGGCAACGAUACGUAGCCGACCUGAGAGGGUGAUCGGCCACACUGGAACUGAGACACGGUCCAGACUCCUACGGGAGGCAGCAGUAGGGAAUCUUCCGCAAUGGGCGAAAGCCUGACGGAGCAACGCCGCGUGAGUGAUGAAGGUCUUCGGAUCGUAAAACUCUGUUAUUAGGGAAGAACAAAUGUGUAAGUAACUGUGCACGUCUUGACGGUACCUAAUCAGAAAGCCACGGCUAACUACGUG